This 472-nucleotide ribosomal RNA is filed under the name uncultured bacterium. RNAcentral's name for it is "bacterial SSU rRNA". It matches the Rfam family "Bacterial small subunit ribosomal RNA", at positions 328 to 793 of the family's 1533-position model. The record is from RNAcentral.
CCUACGCACUCCUACGGGAGGCAGCAGUGGGGAAUAUUGCACAAUGGGCGCAAGCCUGAUGCAGCCAUGCCGCGUGUAUGAAGAAGGCCUUCGGGUUGUAAAGUACUUUCAGCAGUGAGGAAGGUGGGUAUGUUAAUAGCAUACUCAUUUGACGUUAGCUGCAGAAGAAGCACCGGCUAACUCCGUGCCAGCAGCCGCGGUAAUACGGAGGGUGCGAGCGUUAAUCGGAAUUACUGGGCGUAAAGCGCAUGCAGGUGGUUUGUUAAGUCAGAUGUGAAAGCCCGGGGCUCAACCUCGGAAUUGCAUUUGAAACUGGCAAACUAGAGUACUGUAGAGGGGGUAGAAUUUCAGGUGUAGCGGUGAAAUGCGUAGAGAUCUGAAGGAAUACCGGUGUCGAAGGCGGCCCCCUGGACAGAUACUGACACUCAGAUGCGAAAGCGUGGGGAGCAAACAGGAUUAGAUACCCUGGUAG